RNAcentral lists this ribosomal RNA (547 nucleotides) under uncultured bacterium. RNAcentral's name for it is "bacterial SSU rRNA". It matches the Rfam family "Bacterial small subunit ribosomal RNA", at positions 355 to 896 of the family's 1533-position model. The record is from RNAcentral.
UGGGGAAUAUUGGACAAUGGGCGAAAGCCUGAUCCAGCCAUGCCGCGUGUGAAGAAGGCCUUUUGGUUGUAAAGCACUUUAAGUGGGGAGGAAAAGCUUGUGGUUAAUACCCAUAAGCCCUGACGUUACCCACAGAAUAAGCACCGGCUAACUCUGUGCCAGCAGCCGCGGUAAUACAGAGGGUGCAAGCGUUAAUCGGAAUUACUGGGCGUAAAGCGCGCGUAGGUGGUUAUUUAAGUCAGAUGUGAAAGCCCCGGGCUUAACCUGGGAACUGCAUCUGAUACUGGAUAACUAGAGUAGGUGAGAGGGGAGUAGAAUUCCAGGUGUAGCGGUGAAAUGCGUAGAGAUCUAGAGGAAUACCGAUGGCGAAGGCAGCUCCCUGGCAUCAUACUGACACUGAGGUGCGAAAGCGUGGGUAGCAAACAGGAUUAGAUACCCUGGUAGUCCACGCCGUAAACGAUGUCUACCAGUCGUUGGGUCUUUUAAAGACUUAGUGACGCAGUUAACGCAAUAAGUAGACCGCCUGGGGAGUACGGCCGCAAGGCUA